This 255-nucleotide ribosomal RNA is filed under the name uncultured bacterium. Its description in RNAcentral is "partial small subunit ribosomal RNA". It matches the Rfam family "Bacterial small subunit ribosomal RNA", at positions 26 to 285 of the family's 1533-position model. The record is from RNAcentral.
AGGACGAACGCUGGCGGCGUGCUUAACACAUGCAAGUCGAGCGGAAAGGCCCUUCGGGGUACUCGAGCGGCGAACGGGUGAGUAACAUGUGAGUAAUCUGCCCCUAGCUCUGGGAUAGCUCCGGGAAAACCGGGAUUAAUACCAGAUACGACCACUUUAGACAUCUCUUGUGGUGGAAAGAAUUUCGGCUAGGGAUGAACUCGCGGCCUAUCAGCUUGUUGGUGAGGUAACGGCUCACCAAGGCGACGACGGGUA